Molecule: ribosomal RNA, 460 nt
Filed under: uncultured bacterium
Lineage: Bacteria
Description: partial 16S ribosomal RNA
Rfam family: Bacterial small subunit ribosomal RNA
Source: RNAcentral
CCUACGGGAGGCAGCAGUGAGGAAUAUUGGUCAAUGGACGAGAGUCUGAACCAGCCAAGCAGCGUGAAGGAUGAUUGCCUUAUGGGUUGUAAACUCCUUUUAUAUGGGAAUAAAAUGUUCCACGUGUGGGAUCUUGUAUGUACCAUAUGAAUAAGGUCCGGCUAACUCCGUGCCAGCAGCCGCGGUAAUACGGAGGAUCCGAGCGUUUUCUGGAUUUAUUGGGUUUAAAGGGAGCGUAGGUGGAUUGUUAAGUCAGUUGUGAAAGUUUGCGGCUCAAGCGUAAAAGUGCAGUUGAAACUGGCAGGCUGGAGUACAGUAGAGGUGGGCGGAAUUCGUGGUGUAGCGGUGAAAUGCUUAGAGAUCACGAAGAACUCCGAUUGCGAAGGCAGUUCACUGGACUGCAACUGACACUGAGGCUCGAAAGUGUGGGUAUCAAACAGGAUUAGAUACCCGAGUAGUC